UGCAGGUAUGGGGACAGAGUAGUAUUUGUUAAGCACUCAGGAAUCCAAAUGCUGGCCCCACCAACUAACUGCAUGACAGGGCAAGAAGCAGGCUGACGCAUAUUUAGAAGAGACCUCAAGUAUUCAGAAUGGAGAAAAAGCAAACCAGAUGAAGCUGGAAGCAUUGAAGAGUAGACGGGAGACCGGCAGGAUAGUAAUGGCACUCCUUCGAGGAGACAGUGAAAGUGUGAUUCUUAUCUUCAUGGUACAAAACGGUCCAAAUUUCAGCCAUUACAUUCCAAGCAGCUGAUUGGAAAAGCCUAUGGAAGACAGACUCUGGAAGGCCCCCAUGACCCCUACUUCCUGGUGUUCACACGCUUGAAUAAUCCUCUCUCAGUAAGUGUGAGCAGGACCUGUGACCAGCUUCUAAGCAACAGAAUAUGGCAAAGAUGAUGGGAUGUCACUUUUGUGUACACUAGGUUACAUUUUUAAAGACCACCUUGCUAGCACACUCAUUCUAGAGACUCUGCCUGCUGCCCUGGUGAAAUAAAUGGCCACGUUGGGAAGUCAA
This is a long non-coding RNA of Panthera uncia (snow leopard), 550 nucleotides long. RefSeq lists it as uncharacterized. The record is from RefSeq and is a predicted model, not a curated record. Lineage: Eukaryota; Metazoa; Chordata; Mammalia; Carnivora; Felidae. The transcript has 4 exons.